UUGAGAGGAGCUGUCCUUAGUACGAGAGGACCGGGAUGGACAUACCUCUGGUGUACCAGUUGUCGUGCCAACGGCAUAGCUGGGUAGCUAUGUGUGGACGGGAUAAGUGCUGAAAGCAUCUAAGCAUGAAGCCCCCCUCAAGAUGAGAUUUCCCAACUUCGGUUAUAAGAUCCCUCAAAGAUGAUGAGGUUAAUAGGUUCGAGGUGGAAGCAUGGUGACAUGUGGAGCUGACGAAUACUAAUCGAUCGAAGACUUAAUCAAAA
RNAcentral lists this ribosomal RNA (263 nucleotides) under Staphylococcus aureus. RNAcentral's name for it is "partial 23S ribosomal RNA". It matches the Rfam family "Bacterial large subunit ribosomal RNA", at positions 2662 to 2925 of the family's 2925-position model. RNAcentral also lists the same sequence under 1 other name. Lineage: Bacteria; Bacillati; Bacillota; Bacilli; Caryophanales; Staphylococcaceae. The record is from RNAcentral.